RNAcentral lists this transfer RNA (71 nucleotides) under Metachirus nudicaudatus (brown four-eyed opossum). RNAcentral describes it as "transfer RNA-Trp". It matches the Rfam family "tRNA". Rfam says of the family: Transfer RNA (tRNA) molecules are approximately 80 nucleotides in length. Lineage: Eukaryota; Metazoa; Chordata; Mammalia; Didelphimorphia; Didelphidae. The record is from RNAcentral.
AAAGGCUUAGGAUAAAUGUCAGACUGAAGGCCUUCAAAGCCUUAAGCAGGUGUUAAACCAUCUAGCCUUUG